UUGGUUGAUAAUGAGUGGGAUGACUUCAGUUUCUUUGCUAAUAUUAGAUCAGCAUCUGUAUCUCUGUAAUGAGACUUUCUAUGUAGCAAAAUACUGCACAAACAAUGAGUAAGGAAUUUACUGAUUGCUAUAAAACGAGAUGUGUGUGAUCCAACACAGAGAGUUACAGGACCUGUAGAUCUCAUACUGCUUUCUUGGCUCUCUUAAUAACAUCUUUUUGACUUUCACCCUCAGUCAGUGGAAAGAUGAUGAAGUGCAUUGCGCUCUUUCUUAUUUUGUCACUGGUCAUCCCCAUGGCUGAACCUAGGAGAGGUUUUGUUCACCACCUUUGCAAAGGACUUUCUCACGGCGGAAAGUUUAUCCGUCGGACUUUCAAUUAUUUCAAGAAACAAGGCGUGAAAGAGCAACAAGAUCUGGACAAACGUUCAUUUAAUCAAGAGCAGGCAGCUUUUGAUUAGACCUUCUGAAUCUAUGAUGGUCCUUCUGAAAGAGCCGCUGUAAAACUUUGUUUUAGAUGAAAAUAAAUGCU
Molecule: long non-coding RNA, 529 nt
Organism: Micropterus dolomieu (smallmouth bass)
Lineage: Eukaryota; Metazoa; Chordata; Actinopteri; Centrarchiformes; Centrarchidae
Exons: 4
Source: RefSeq, a predicted model, not a curated record